Molecule: ribosomal RNA, 213 nt
Filed under: uncultured bacterium
Lineage: Bacteria
Description: partial 16S ribosomal RNA
Rfam family: Bacterial small subunit ribosomal RNA
Source: RNAcentral
UACGGAGGGUGCGAGCGUUGUCCGGAAUCACUGGGCGUAAAGGGCGCGUAGGUGGCGCAGGAAGUCAACGGUGAAAGUUCGGGGCUCAACCCUGAAUCGGCCGUCGAUACUCCUGGGCUCGAGCAUUGUAGAGGCAGAUGGAAUUCCGGGUGUAGCGGUGGAAUGCGUAGAGAUCCGGAAGAACACCGGUGGCGAAGGCGGUCUGCUGGGCGA